Molecule: ribosomal RNA, 253 nt
Filed under: uncultured bacterium
Lineage: Bacteria
Description: partial 16S ribosomal RNA
Rfam family: Bacterial small subunit ribosomal RNA
Source: RNAcentral
UACGUAGGGCGCAAGCGUUGUCCGGAAUUAUUGGGCGUAAAGGGUAGGUAGGUGGUCUCAUUUGUCUGGGGUGAAAGCCUUGAGCUUAACUCAAGAAGUGCCCCAGAAACGGUGAGACUGGAGUCCUGGAGAGGGUCGUGGAAUUCCCGGUGUAGCGGUGAAAUGCGUAGAGAUCGGGAGGAACACCAGAGGCGAAAGCGGCGACCUGGACAGGCACUGACACUCAACUACGAAAGCGUGGGGAGCAAACAGG